AAUACAACUCUCAGCAACGGAUAUCUUGGCUCUUGCAUCGAUGAAGAACGCAGCGAAAUGCGAUACGUAGUGUGAAUUGCAGAAUUCCGUGAAUCAUCGAGUUUUUGAACGCAAGUUGCGCCCGAGGCUCGUCCGAGGGCAUUCCUGCCAGAGCGUCAUCG
Molecule: ribosomal RNA, 161 nt
Filed under: Physcomitrium patens
Lineage: Eukaryota; Viridiplantae; Streptophyta; Bryopsida; Funariales; Funariaceae
Also listed under: 1 other name
Description: Physcomitrella patens 5.8S ribosomal RNA
Rfam family: 5.8S ribosomal RNA
About the family: 5.8S ribosomal RNA (5.8S rRNA) is a component of the large subunit of the eukaryotic ribosome. It is transcribed by RNA polymerase I as part of the 45S precursor that also contains 18S and 28S rRNA. Functionally, it is thought that 5.8S rRNA may be involved in ribosome translocation.
Source: RNAcentral